CCUACGGGAGGCAGCAGUGAGGAAUAUUGGUCAAUGGGCGCGAGCCUGAACCAGCCAAGUAGCGUGAAGGAUGACUGCCCUACGGGUUGUACACUUCUUUUAUAAAGGAAUAAAGUGAGGCACGUGUGCCUUUGUGUAUGUACUUUAUGAAUAAGGAUCGGCUAACUCCGUGCCAGCAGCCGCGGUAAUACGGAGGAUCCGAGCGUUAGCCGGAUUGAUUGGGUUUAAGGGGAGCGUAGAUGGGUUUUUAAGUGAGCGGGUAAAGUUUGUGGCUUAACCAUAAAAUUGCCGUUGAAACUGGAAGACUUGAGUGUGUUUGAGGUAGGCGGAAUUCGUGGUGUAGCGGUGAAAUGCAUAGAUAUCACGCAGAACUCCGAUUGCGAAGGUAGCUUACUAAGCCAUAACUGACACUGAAGCACGAAAGCGUGGGGAUCAAACAGGAUUAGAUACCCUAGUAGUC
RNAcentral lists this ribosomal RNA (460 nucleotides) under uncultured bacterium. RNAcentral's name for it is "partial 16S ribosomal RNA". It matches the Rfam family "Bacterial small subunit ribosomal RNA", at positions 338 to 795 of the family's 1533-position model. The record is from RNAcentral.